Molecule: ribosomal RNA, 513 nt
Filed under: Gehyra mutilata (stump-toed gecko)
Lineage: Eukaryota; Metazoa; Chordata; Lepidosauria; Squamata; Gekkonidae
Description: partial 16S ribosomal RNA
Rfam family: Bacterial large subunit ribosomal RNA
Source: RNAcentral
GGUCUCGCCUGCCCAGUGAGUUUCAACUUUAACGGCCGCGGUAUCCUAACCGUGCAAAGGUAGCGCAAUCACUUGUCUUUUAAAUAAAGACCCGUAUGAAUGGCUGAAUAAGAACGAAUCUGUCUCCUGCAACUAGUCAAUGAAACUGAUCCCCCAGUACAAAAGCUGGCAUACACACAUAAGACGAGAAGACCCCGUGGAGCUUUAAACAUAAUACUACGCACCCAAACCCUAAAUCUCUGCCUAUAGUAAAACCUUUCAGUUGGGGCGACUACGGGGCAAAACAAAACCCCCACGAACCAGGAAUUUUUCCUCCCCAGGCCUACAAGCCAACGACAAAAUUAACCGACCCAGUACACCACUGAACACCGAACCAAGUUACCCCGGGGAUAACAGCGCCAUCCCCCUUAAGAGUCCCUAUCGCCAGGGGGGCUUACGACCUCGAUGUUGGAUCAGGACCCCCCAAUGGUGCAGCCGCCAUUAAAGGUGCGUUUGUUCAACGCUUAAAGUCCU